Molecule: ribosomal RNA, 536 nt
Filed under: uncultured bacterium
Lineage: Bacteria
Description: bacterial SSU rRNA
Rfam family: Bacterial small subunit ribosomal RNA
Source: RNAcentral
GAUGAACGCUGGCGGCGUGCUUAAUACAUGCAAGUCGAACGGAGACUGUAGCAAUACUGUCUUAGUGGCGAACGGGUGAGUAACGCGUUGGUGACCUGCCCCGAAGGAGGGGAUAACAGUCCGAAAGGAUUGCUAAUACCCCAUGUGGUCGUUUGGAUUAGAUGCCUUACGACUAAACGGAUUUAUUCGCUUCGGGAGGGGCCUGCGUCCCAUCAGCUAGUUGGUAGGGUAAUAGCCUACCAAGGCGAUGACGGGUAGGGACCUGAGAGGGUCGGCCCCCCACAAUGGAACUGAAACACGGUCCAUACACCUACGGGUGGCAGCAGUAGGGAAUAUUGGUAAUCUGGGAAACCCGGGAACCAGCAACGCCGCGUGCGCGAUGAAGGCCUUCGGGUUGUAAAGCGCUUUUAAAGGGAUGAGGAAGGACAGUACCUUUAGAAUAAGCCUCGGCUAACUACGUGCCAGCAGCCGCGGUAAAAUCUACGUACGUACGUUACGAGGACGGGCCGGUCGUGGACGAACGGGCGACUAAGUAG